AUGCUUACCUGAUGUGGGUGAUUCCAUGAUCAUGAAGGUGGUUUCCCCAGCAUGAGACUUAUCCAUUGCACUGCAGAUGGACUGACCCCUGGGAUUUCCCCAAAUGUGGGAAACUCAACUGCAUAAUUUGUGGUAGUAGGGAACUGUGCUAGUGCACUCCCCUU
Dromiciops gliroides (monito del monte) is the source of this 164-nucleotide small nuclear RNA. RefSeq annotates it as U1 spliceosomal RNA. The transcript has a single exon. NCBI's taxonomy places the organism in Eukaryota, Metazoa, Chordata, Mammalia, Microbiotheria, Microbiotheriidae. The record is from RefSeq and is a predicted model, not a curated record.